UGGGGAAUAUUGCACAAUGGGCGAAAGCCUGAUGCAGCGACGCCGCGUGAGGGAUGAAGGCCUUCGGGUUGUAAACCUCUUUCAGUAGGGAAGAAGCGAAAGUGACGGUACCUGCAGAAGAAGCGCCGGCUAACUACGUGCCAGCAGCCGCGGUAAUACGUAGGGCGCAAGCGUUGUCCGGAAUUAUUGGGCGUAAAGAGCUCGUAGGCGGUUUGUCGCGUCUGGUGUGAAAACCCAAGGCUCAACCUUGGGCUUGCAUCGGGUACGGGCAGACUAGAGUGCGGUAGGGGUGACUGGAAUUCCUGGUGUAGCGGUGGAAUGCGCAGAUAUCAGGAGGAACACCGAUGGCGAAGGCAGGUCACUGGGCCGCAACUGACGCUGAGGAGCGAAAGCAUGGGUAGCGAACAGG
Molecule: ribosomal RNA, 409 nt
Filed under: uncultured prokaryote
Also listed under: 1 other name
Description: bacterial SSU rRNA
Rfam family: Bacterial small subunit ribosomal RNA
Source: RNAcentral